Molecule: ribosomal RNA, 301 nt
Filed under: uncultured bacterium
Lineage: Bacteria
Description: partial 16S ribosomal RNA
Rfam family: Bacterial small subunit ribosomal RNA
Source: RNAcentral
CAGCCGCCGCGGGAAUACGGAGGGGGCUAGCGUUGUUCGGAAUUACUGGGCGUAAAGCGCACGUAGGCGGCUUGGUAAGUUAGAGGUGAAAGCCCGGAGCUCAACUCCGGAAUUGCCUUUAAGACUGCCGAGCUAGCAGGUGAGAGAGGUAAGUGGAAUUCCGAGUGUAGAGGUGAAAUUCGUAGAUAUUCGGAAGAACACCAGUGGCGAAGGCGGCUUACUGGCUCAUACUGGACGCUGAGGUGCGAAAGCGUGGGGAGCAAACAGGAUUAGAUACCCGCGUAGUCCCUGUCUAUUAUAC